GACGAACGCUGGCGGCGUGCCUAGUACAUGCAAGUCGAGCGCAGGAAACUGACGGAACUCUUCGGAGGGAAGGCAGUGGAAUGAGCGGCGGACGGGUGAGUAACACGUAAGGAACCUGCCUCAAGGAUUGGGAUAACUCCGAGAAAUCGGAGCUAAUACCGGAUAGUUCAUCGGACCGCAUGGUCCGUUGAUGAAAGGCGCUCCGGCGUCACCUUGAGAUGGCCUUGCGGUGCAUUAGCUAGUUGGUGGGGUAAAGGCCCACCAAGGCGACGAUGCAUAGCCGACCUGAGAGGGUGAUCGGCCACACUGGGACUGAGACACGGCCCAGACUCCUACGGGAGGCAGCAGUAGGGAAUCUUCCACAAUGGACGAAAGUCUGAUGGAGCAACGCCGCGUGAGUGAUGAAGGUUUUCGGAUCGUAAAACUCUGUUGUAAGGGAAGAACACGUACGAGAGGAAAUGCUCGUACCUUGACGGUACCUUACGAGAAAGCCACGGCUAACUACGUGCCAGCCGCCGCAGUAA
RNAcentral lists this ribosomal RNA (524 nucleotides) under uncultured bacterium. RNAcentral describes it as "partial 16S ribosomal RNA". It matches the Rfam family "Bacterial small subunit ribosomal RNA", at positions 28 to 523 of the family's 1533-position model. The record is from RNAcentral.